Molecule: ribosomal RNA, 525 nt
Filed under: uncultured bacterium
Lineage: Bacteria
Description: bacterial SSU rRNA
Rfam family: Bacterial small subunit ribosomal RNA
Source: RNAcentral
AGAGUUUGAUUAUGGCUCAGGAUGAACGCUAGCUACAGGCUUAACACAUGCAAGUCGAGGGGCAGCAUGGUCUAGCUUGCUAAGACUGAGUGGCGACCGGCGCACGGGUGAGUAACGCGUAUCCAACCGUUCCCCUUAGUAGGGCAUAGCCCGGCGAAAGUCGGAUUAAUACCCUAUGUUUUCCUAUGAUGACAUCUGAUUAGGAACAAAGAUUUAUCGCUAAGGGAUGGGGAUGCGUCUGAUUAGGUAGUUGGCGGGGUAACGGCCCACCGAGCCAUCGAUCAGUAGGGGUUCUGAGAGGAAGGUCCCCCACAUUGGUACUGAGACACGGACCAAACUCCUACGGGAGGCAGCAGUGAGGAAUAUUGGUCAAGUGGGGCGCGAGCCUGAACCAGCCAAGUAAGCGUGCAGGAUGACGGCCCUACGGGUUGCAAACUGCUUUUGUACGGGAAUAAAGUGUGGGACGUGUCCCAUUUUGUAUGUACCGUAAGAAUAAGGACCGGCUAAUUCCGUGCCAGCCGCGGC